Molecule: transfer RNA, 64 nt
Filed under: Strahlaxius plectrorhynchus
Lineage: Eukaryota; Metazoa; Arthropoda; Malacostraca; Decapoda; Strahlaxiidae
Description: tRNA-Arg
Source: RNAcentral
AAUUAGAAAGUGAAAAAUCACAUUUAGUUUCGGCCUAAAAAUUGACUGUUCAAGUCUCUAAUUU